RNAcentral lists this ribosomal RNA (253 nucleotides) under uncultured bacterium. RNAcentral's name for it is "partial 16S ribosomal RNA". It matches the Rfam family "Bacterial small subunit ribosomal RNA", at positions 524 to 776 of the family's 1533-position model. The record is from RNAcentral.
UACGUAGGGUCCGAGCGUUGUCCGGAAUUACUGGGCGUAAAGCGCGCGCAGGCGGCCCGCGAGGUGUCACGUGAAAGCCCCGGGCUCAACCCGGGAGGGGCGUGGCAAACCGGCGGGCUUGAGGCCGGGAGAGGUGGGUGGAACUCCUGGUGGAGUGGUGAAAUGCGUAGAGAUCAGGAAGAACACCCGUGGCGAAGGCGGCCCCCUGGGCCGGUACUGACGCUGAGGCGCGAAGGCGUGGGGAGCGAACGGG